UCAAUGUGCGGCGAUCGCUUCAUUUUAUUGUAAUUAAAGCGAAGAAAUAAAAGUGCAAAAACUAAUAUUUUAUGUAAAUAAAUUAGCGCUUGCAAAAAUAUAAAUAUGAAUAAAAACCGGACCGGUUUUACUUUGUGCAUUUUUAGUCGGAUGAAAUAUGAACUGGAAAAGUAGCCAAACUGAUUGCGAGAGCGAAUUCGGACAAAAUGCUGUCAAAGGAAACACAUGUGCUUGACAUUUAUAUUAGGUGUACAUUGUCAAAURAUCAAUGCAAAAGGCUUACAAUGGUAAACUGAAAUUUUUAUUUCUACCGUGAAAUCAUCUUCAGCGAUGAAGAACAUUUUUGGCUAAAUGGAUAGCCAACUAAACAUUUUGCCACAUUUGGAGAUCGAGCAACGCUUCAAAUACCCUCAAUACUUCCUUGCCGUCCAUUUAUUAGCAAUACUAGUUCCUUACCACUAAAUACAACACCCUUUAAAUUUCGCUUAAAUCUUCAAAACACAGUACCUAUACAUAAACACAUACAUACUUAUGUACCUCCAAACGUCCAAAAGUACAAGCGGCCGACCGACCUUCCGCCUUAAAAUCGAUUGAAAAACUUCGAAUGAAAACUUUUCUCCUACCCAUCCCUUUUCCGACCAU
This is a long non-coding RNA of Bactrocera latifrons, 642 nucleotides long. RefSeq lists it as uncharacterized. The transcript has 3 exons. The record is from RefSeq and is a predicted model, not a curated record. NCBI's taxonomy places the organism in Eukaryota, Metazoa, Arthropoda, Insecta, Diptera, Tephritidae.